Molecule: ribosomal RNA, 241 nt
Filed under: uncultured bacterium
Lineage: Bacteria
Description: partial 16S ribosomal RNA
Rfam family: Bacterial small subunit ribosomal RNA
Source: RNAcentral
UACGUAGGGGGCAAGCGUUGUCCGGAAUCAUUGGGCGUAAAGCGCGUGUAGGCGGCUCGGUAAGUCCGCUCUGAAAGUCCAGGGCUCAACCCUGGGAUGCGGGUGGAUACUGCCGGGCUCGAGUCCGGAAGAGGCGAGUGGAAUCCCGGUGUAGCGGUGAAAUGCGCAGAUAUCGGGAGGAACACCAAUGGCGAAGGCAGCUCGCUGGGACGUGACUGACGCUGAGACGCGAAAGCGUGGG